Molecule: non-coding RNA, 361 nt
Organism: Paramuricea clavata
Lineage: Eukaryota; Metazoa; Cnidaria; Anthozoa; Malacalcyonacea; Plexauridae
Source: the annotation of a GenBank genome assembly
AAAAGUUUGGGGUUUAUAGGGGUUAGUGGUUAGUGGUUAGGGCUGGGGUUAGCGUUAGGGUUAGUGUUAUGUGCCGCGAAUUUAUUAUUAUGAUAGAUUCAAAAUGUGCCGCGAAUUUAUCAUAAUGAUAAAAUCGGACGUGUUUAAGAAUUUACUCGUAUAGUAAAGGUGGAUCGGAGUCAUGCUGAAAUAACCGGGUCGAUAGGCAAAAGUACGUUCGGAAUGAAAUCUAUAGACAAGGUCACGUUUGUUUAUAAAUAUUGCUGAAGUUGAUAUAGUUUAAAUGAUAGUCUUGAUAAUAAAUUUCACGGUUCUGUAUGCUGCAUAUAUGCUCUUUUUUUUCUUUUAUGCGAUUUUGGAC